RNAcentral lists this ribosomal RNA (464 nucleotides) under uncultured bacterium. RNAcentral's name for it is "partial 16S ribosomal RNA". It matches the Rfam family "Bacterial small subunit ribosomal RNA", at positions 339 to 795 of the family's 1533-position model. The record is from RNAcentral.
CUACGGGGGGCUGCAGUCGAGAAUAUUUUGCAAUGCGCGCAAGCGUGACAAUGCGACGCCGCGUGAGCGAUGAAGAUCUUCGGAUUGUAAAGCUCUGUCAGCCCGGAUGAAAAUUAUCGGCAUAAUAAACCGAUAACUUGACCGUACGGGCAGAGGAAGCCACGGCUAACUCCGUGCCAGCAGCCGCGGUAAUACGGAGGUGGCAAGCGUUGUUCGGAUUUAUUGGGUGUAAAGGGUAUGUAGGUGUCCUGUUAAGUCCUUCUUGAAAUACUUUGGCUCAACCAAAGAACCGGGGGGGAAACUGGCAGGAUUGAGUACAGGAGAGGGGAGCGGAAUUCCCGGAGUAAGGGUGAAAUCUGUAGAUACCGGGAGGAACACCAGUGGCGAAAGCGGCUCCCUGGUCUGAUACUGACACUGAAAUACGAAAGCAAGGGGAGCAAACAGGAUUAGAUACCCGGGUAGUC